GAUGAACGCUGGCGGCGUGCCUAAUACAUGCAAGUCGAGCGAACAGACGAGGAGCUUGCUCCUCUGACGUUAGCGGCGGACGGGUGAGUAACACGUGGAUAACCUACCUAUAAGACUGGGAUAACUUCGGGAAACCGGAGCUAAUACCGGAUAAUAUAUUGAACCGCAUGGUUCAAUAGUGAAAGACGGUUUUGCUGUCACUUAUAGAUGGAUCCGCGCCGCAUUAGCUAGUUGGUAAGGUAACGGCUUACCAAGGCAACGAUGCGUAGCCGACCUGAGAGGGUAAUCGGCCACACUGGAACUGAGACACGGUCCAGACUCCUACGGGAGGCAGCAGUAGGGAAUCUUCCGCAAUGGGCGAAAGCCUGACGGAGCAACGCCGCGUGAGUGAUGAAGGUCUUCGGAUCGUAAAACUCUGUUAUUAGGGAAGAACAAAUGUGUAAGUAACUAUGCACGUCUUGACGGUACCUAAUCAGAAAGCCACGGCUAACUACGU
RNAcentral lists this ribosomal RNA (496 nucleotides) under uncultured bacterium. RNAcentral describes it as "partial 16S ribosomal RNA". It matches the Rfam family "Bacterial small subunit ribosomal RNA", at positions 28 to 506 of the family's 1533-position model. The record is from RNAcentral.